This 324-nucleotide ribosomal RNA is filed under the name uncultured Chloroflexota bacterium. RNAcentral describes it as "bacterial SSU rRNA". It matches the Rfam family "Bacterial small subunit ribosomal RNA", at positions 28 to 352 of the family's 1533-position model. Lineage: Bacteria; Bacillati; Chloroflexota. The record is from RNAcentral.
GAUGAACGCUGGCGGCGUGCCUAAUACAUGCAAGUCGAACGGGUGUUUGAGCAAUCGAACACUUAGUGGCGAACGGGUGAGUAACGCGUUGGUGACCUGCCCCAAAGCGGGGGAUAACAGUUCGAAAGGACUGCUAAUACCCCAUGAGAUCUAGAGAGUUAGAGGUAUCUAGAUGAAAGGAGCAAUCCGCUUUGGGAGGGCCUGCGUCCCAUCAGCUAGUUGGUAGGGUAAAAGCCUACCAAGGCGACGACGGGUAGGGGACCUGAGAGGGUGACUCCCCCACACUGGCACUGAAACACGGGCCAGACACCUACGGGUGGCUGG